Pelobates cultripes (western spadefoot toad) is the source of this 202-nucleotide non-coding RNA. The record is from the annotation of a GenBank genome assembly. NCBI's taxonomy places the organism in Eukaryota, Metazoa, Chordata, Amphibia, Anura, Pelobatidae.
GCAUAUAGAGGGAGGAGACAUCGAAUGUUUGGAUGCAUUUUAGGCAGCCAUGACCCAGGUAGGAUCUCUAACAGCUACCUGAGGAGUGGCCAGUGAAGUUAUCACUGGGCUGUAAUGCAAACACUGCAUUUUCUCUACUCACCAGAACAAAUUCAAUAAGCUGUAGUAGUUCUGGUGACUAUAGUGUCUAUUUAAGCUGCUG